UAAUGUAUGGGGAUCUGCCCGAUAGAGGGGGAUAACUACUGGAAACGGUGGCUAAUACCGCAUAAUGUCUACGGACCAAAGCAGGGGCUCUUCGGACCUUGCACUAUCGGAUGAACCCAUAUGGGAUUAGCUAGUAGGUGGGGUAAAGGCUCACCUAGGCGACGAUCUCUAGCUGGUCUGAGAGGAUGAUCAGCCACACUGGGACUGAGACACGGCCCA
This 219-nucleotide ribosomal RNA is filed under the name uncultured bacterium. Its description in RNAcentral is "partial 16S ribosomal RNA". It matches the Rfam family "Bacterial small subunit ribosomal RNA", at positions 111 to 333 of the family's 1533-position model. The record is from RNAcentral.